GCCUUCUUGGUGUAGUGGUCAGCACACUCGGCGCAUAUUCCAGAGAUCCGUGGUUCGAGUCCCGGCGAAGGCG
Molecule: non-coding RNA, 73 nt
Organism: Stegodyphus mimosarum
Lineage: Eukaryota; Metazoa; Arthropoda; Arachnida; Araneae; Eresidae
Source: Rfam